Molecule: long non-coding RNA, 13831 nt
Organism: Homo sapiens (human)
Lineage: Eukaryota; Metazoa; Chordata; Mammalia; Primates; Hominidae
Exons: 2
Source: RefSeq, a predicted model, not a curated record
AGACCGGUGUUUGUCCUAAGUCGGAACUUGAUUGGGCUGAGAAAUCACAUUGUGACUAUUCCACGACUUGAACAAGGGGUAGAAAUCGCAGGCACCGCGAAAUAGAAACUUCCUAGGACCAAGAAGCCAACGACGCCCGAAACCGUGGGGUCCUGUCACAGAAACCCCAGCAGCGCAGCCACCGGACUGGGUUCUGGAGGCCGAGCCGCAGUCCGUGCGGCGGCGCUGGGAAGAGAAGGCGCCCCGGCAGCUCCCCUGCCACCGGCCCCGAGGAGCGGCUGGCUCCCCCAGCCCAGCGCCGCCGCCGCCCGGUAACUCCAGGCGCAACUGGGCGCAACUGGGGCAGCUGCGACACCGAAUCCCUCACAUCUGCAACCUGGGUGCUGCGGCCACUGAGAAAAUGGAGGCGCAGACCAACGAGCGGUGCCGCGACCGAGAGACCUCGGCUGGCGAAAUGGUGGUGCCGGGAGCCUGCGAGUGACGCCAGCCGGCGGGGUUGUCAAGGACAACAUUCGUUUUGACGCAGCCAAUGGCGCCGUCACCAAGAAACCAUCGACUCUGAGAAAAAAGAGAGGUUCGGCCACCGAGAAACUCCGUACGACAAGUGCUGUGGCAGAAAAACCGCCUACUCCGCGCCACAGGCAAAACAGCCAAUGGAAACCCCAGGUGCUGCGACCGUGACACCGGCACUAGAGGGUCUCGGAUGGAGAAAGCGGCGCACGGAGACCAGGAAACUAUGUGUAGCACAACUAGCAGAAAACCGUCUGGUCGGCCAUCCGGGAGAAAGCGCGGAUCAGAAACAAGCGACUUCGAUGCAGGGAACCGCGCAGCCACUGAAGAAAGUGACCCACGUGGCAGUGGUGCCAGCGAAACACUGCAGUUUGGACGGCAGCUGUGGGGAUGCCACAGAGAAACAUGCACUGCCACUGAAGUACAUCCAGCUCCGCGGAGCUAGUGUUCAUAUGAUCAAGAAACCGCCAGUUGGGCUCUGCUAGAAACUUUUAGUCCUCCCUUAACGGCUAUCCUACCCACAACAGACAAUGCCUUUACCCAGCACCUAGCGGUGCUGAGACCCGCCUGGGCCAGCACAGAGCGCAGAGCAGUACGGGUACGGAGAAACGCCGGACUCAGUGAAACCAGCCUUGCCUCCAGCGGAUUCCCCGGCUUCGCCGGACGCCACAGGCAGAGUGCCGCGGGGAAACCUCUGGCUCCCUAAACCGAUUAGAUUGUGGGAGUGGGGGGGACACUCACAAGUUGUGUGGAAGGGAACCAGCGGCAAUGGGACCCGGCGAGCACUUGCCCGCAGCAAAUGCCUGCGCUGCUGCAAAAAAAACAACUUUUGGCGCAAAGAAUGUUGCGGCCAGAGAGCAUCCGCUGUCGCUGACAAAGGAGUAGCAAUGGCAAUGAGAAACCGCCGGCGCCACGGCCGACCGCGGCGGCUCACGCCUAUGAUCCUUGCAGUUUGGGAGGCCGAGGUGGGCGCAUUACUUGAGAUCAGGAGACUAGCCUGGCCAACAAGGUGAAACCCCAUCUCUACUAAAAUACAAAAGAUUAGCCGGUUGUGGUGGCAGGCACCUGUAAUCCCAGCUACUCCGGAGGCUGAGGCAGAAGAAUCGAUUGAACUCAGGAGGCAGAGGUUGCAGUGAGCCAAGAUCGCGCCACUGCACUCCAGCCUGGGAGACAGAGUGAGCUCCGUCUCAAAAAAAAGAAAGAAACCGCUGGCGCCGGGAAAGGAGCCGUGCAGCGAUGGACCCAUGGUGCGCUCCGUGCUACCAAAGUGCUGUGGCCUCUACCCACUCUCGAUUCCCAAGGCUGUUUUUCGGGCUUAGGGAAGUCUGUUAUAUUUUUAUUUCUGCUUCUUUCUUUUCUUUCUUUUAUUUCUUUCUUUCUUUUUCUUUCUUUCAUUCUUUCUUUUUCUUUUUCUUUCUUCUUUCCUUUCUUUCUCUCUUUCCUUUUUUUCUUUUUCUCUUUAUUUCUUUUUUCUUUAUUUUUUUUUUUAACAGUAUCUUGCUCUGUUGCCCAGGCUGGUGCAGUGGCGUGAUCACUGCUCAGUGCAGCCUCGCCUUCUUGGGCUCCAGCUAUCCUCCCGCCUCAGCCUGUGGAGCAGCUGGGACCACAGGUGCGCGACACCACACCCGACUAAUUUUUUGUAGUUUUUGUAGGGUCUCGUUUUGUUGCCUAGGCUGUUCUCGAACUCCUGAGCUCAAGCAGUCCGUCCGCCUGGGCGGACUAAUAUCACAAAGCGCUAGAAUCACAGGCAUGAGCCACCGUGCUGGGAGGGAAGUCUGUAUUGUUGCUGCGUUCAACCCAGUGCAUAGUGCAUGAGAAGAGGAGGCAGUUUAGGGGCCCAGAACCAAGCGGAUGGGGCUGGUUGCAGGAACAAAGUAAAAACCAUUCUGAUUGCCAACAGCUGCCUACGCAGGAAACACCCUUCCAACCUCCGUGGCGGGGCUCUCCCAGGCCACCCCUCGGUCCCAGAGUCUCCUCCCCGUCCAGAGCUCUCAGGAUCCUACAGAAGGGGCGGACAACUCUUCCCUUCCAAACUGGAAAGUCGGCCUAGGUUUCCGAGGAUAAUGAAAGGCACAGCGUUUUUUGACCUCGACUUCAGGCCUGACCCCCCACUCUCUCGGUCCCGUACCUCUUCUGCGGGAUGUAACUCUGUGGGAACCGCUCCUUUAUUCUGAUGAUUAACUGUCUGAUAUCCUUGAUAUUUGGGGAUAGUAGAUGAAAGAGAGCAGGAGAGAAAAAUGGACGGCAAGACUCCAGCUCAGAAGGUGGGAAUGAUGGCAAAAGUCCGCUACCUCUCCAAGCCCAAUAAACAUCUCAAACUGCUCUACACUUUUCUGUACCCUUGAUCUGUGAAAUGGAUCACUGACGUUUUCUGUCUUUCGGGAAAUGCAAAGCAGGCGAAUUUUCAAGCGCUUGAAUUCCCUCUUUUUCCUACUUUUCAGUCAGAGUGGAGCUAAAAACUCCUUCCCCAUAGGAAAUAUGGAACUGCCUCUGCCCGGAAGAAAAACGUCCCUUUUCCCUAAGCUUUCACAUUUCCCGAAAAAUCUACACAUCCGCAUGAAAUCCUCACAAGAGACCUACAGACCCUACCGGGAGCGUUCCUGUCACUACAAAAAAUUUAAAAAUUAGCCGGAUGCGGUCGCGGGUGCCUGUAGUCCCAGGUACCAGGGAGGCUGAGGUGGGAGGAUCUCUUGAGCCCAGGAGGUCCAGGAUGCAGUUAACGAUGAUCCUAAGACCACGAGGCAAUUGGAGGAUCCUCAAAUACCAGGGAGAAACUAGCUAGCAGACAUAGUAUGGUGGGAGGGGAAGAUCAAGGCAAAUGCCUUGGGAGUGGGUGAGAAUUGCGACUUCAUAUUGGAUCUCCUGACCUGUGAAGGCCCUUUUCUAGGCUCCUCUGGACCUGUCCUCUGCCCAGGUUCAACCAGAAAAGGAUGGAGUUUGUUGCAUGGUAUCAUCAGGGUGAGGUUGGGAGAUGAUGCGGGAACGCUCAUCCCUGGUCUUAGGAACGGGAGAACAAAGGAAAAAUGGCAUCAUUUCCACCUAAAAAGUUACAAGCACUUCACCAGAAGGAACAGCCCAGGCGGAGCCUUUGUAAAAGAAAAGCCCCACCCACUGCUUCGCACUCCUCAUUUCCACCCAGCAGAGCAUUUUAGUGACAAAGCUGAGCGGGAGCCAGAGUUCACUCCUGUAAUCCCAGCACUUUGGGAGGCCCAGGCGGGAGGAUCACUUUAACCCACGCGUUCAGGACCAUCCGAAGCACAUAGCAAGACCGUGCCACUACAAAAAAUUUAAAAAAUUAGCGGGAUGCAGUCGCGGGUGCCUGUAGUCCCAGCUACCAAGGAGGCUGACGUGGGAGGAUCUCUUGAGCCCAGGAGGUCCAGGCUGCAGUGAACGAUGAUCCUUCACGGCACCACUGCACUCCAGCCUGGGUGACAGACUGAGACUUUGUCUCAAAAAAUAAAAUGAAAUAAAAAUACAGCCGAGAUUAGGAACUCUUUAAGAAGGGGUCACCUGAGACAUUAUUAGUAUACCAUUAACAGGAGAAAAUGCUGCAAAUUAAAGUAUCAUAAUGGUAGGAGGCUACCCAUUUAAAAAUAUAUACCUGUUUCAGAGACACUAAAGUGAGAAAAAAUUUACUCUAGAAUUGAUUAAAUUCAGAUAUCCACUGCUUUAUUUUAAACCUUAAGUGCCAUUUUAGUUUAUUUACCUCUUAGAAAUAGCAUGGAGAUUGGAGUUGUAAUUUUUUAAUAUUUAUUUAUUUAUUUAUUUAGAGACAGAGUCUGGCUCUGUUGCCCAGGCUGGAGUGCAGUGGUGUGAUCUCAGCUCACUGCAGCCUCUGCCUCCCGGGUUCAAGCUAUUCUGAGGCCUCAUAUCUGGGAACCUGCCCCAAUAGUCACAUAGGUUCUUUUCUAUUUUCCCUAAGCAUCGGCCGGUUUGAGAAAUAAAGGGACAGAGUACAAAAGAGAGAAAUUCUAAAGCUGGGUGUCUAGGGGAGACCUCACAUGUCAGUAGGUUCUGUGAUGCCCCACAAGCUGUAAAACCAGCAAGUUUUUAUUAGGGACUUUCGAAAGGGGAGGGAGUGUACGAAUAGGGUGUGGGUCACAAAGAUCACAUACUUCACAAGGUAAUAGAAUAUCACAAGGCAAAUGGAGGCAGGGCGAGAUCACAGGACCACAGGACCGGGGUGAAAUUCAAAUUGCUAAUGAAGUUUUGGGCACCAUUGUCAUUGAUAACAUCUUAUCAGGAGACAGGGUUUUGAGAGCAACUGGUCUGACCAAAAUUUAUUAGGCGGGAAUUUCCCCUUCCUGAUAAGCCUGGGAGCACUAUGGGAGACUGGGGUUUAUUUCAUCCCUACAGUCUCGACCAUAGAAGACGGCCACACCCAAGGGGGGCAUCUAUAGACCCACCCUCAGGUGCGUAUUCUCUUUCCCAGGGAUGUUCCUUGCUGAGAAAAAGAAUUCAGCAAUAUUUCUUCCAUUUGCUUUUGAAAGAAGAGAAAUAUGGCUCUGUUCCGCCUGGCUUUUUCCCAGCGGUCAGAGUUUAAGGUUAUCUCUCUUGUUUCCUAAACAUUGCUGUUAUACUGUUCUUUUUUCAAGGUGCCCAGAUUUCAUACUGUUUAAACACACAUGCUCUACAAUUUGUGGAGUUAAUGCAAUUAUCACAGGGUCCUGAGGCGACAUACAUUCUCCUCGGCUUACGAGAUGACAGGAUUAAGAGAUUAAAGUAAAGACAGGCAUAGGAAAUCACAAGGGCAUUGAUUGGAGAAGAGAUAAGUGUCCUUGAAAUCUUCACAAUUUAUGUUUAGAGAUUGCAGUAAAGAUAGGCAUAAGAAAUUAUAAAAGUAUUAAUUUGGGGAACUAAUAAACGUCCAUGAAAUCUUCACAAUCCACGUUCUUCUGCCAUGGCUUCGGCCGGUCCCUCCUUUUGGGGUCCCUGACUUCCCGCUACAGCCUCAGCCUCCCAAGUAGCGGGGAUUACAGGCACCAGCCACAAUGCUCAGCAAUUUUUUUGUAUUUUUAGUAGAGAGGGGGUCUCGCCAUUUUGUCCAGUCUGGUCUUGAACUCCUGACUUCUAUAUGAUUGUAUUUGUUUUUUCACAAUGUAGUUCAAUACAUUGAAAUGGUUGGGCAAGUGGCAAAAUCAUAUUCCUCACUCCUCUGGUUUUUUAUAAGGUUCAAUUUAUCAUAAAUACUUUCCACUUCUUGCCUCAUCUUUUACUUCUCCUCACAUAUUGAGUGGUUCAUGGCACAAAAAUCAUUAUUUGUGACAGACACUGUGCCAACUGUAUUUUGUGCUUUAUCUGAUUUCAUUCUCAACUGAAAACUGCGGCAAGCACAUGCUUUGUACUGGGCUUGCUUCUCAUUUCCAUUUUGUAGAUACACACCCUCACUUAGGGAAGUAUGAGUUUGUACAGCUCUGCCUGUGGCUGAAUAGAUAAAUGUAAUUUUACCAUUCAGUGUUAAAUCAACUUUUAGUGUAAAUUUAAGGCCCAUCUUCUAACAUAGGGGUACGUGUGAUUUUACUGUGUCCCUUCUCCCUAACACUCCAGUUCAAGAUAGCAACCUAAAUUCUGAGUUGAUUAUUCUGGACACACUCCCUCAAAAUGCGACUGUAAGACACCAGAAUACACCACCCCAGUAUGCCAAUAUAUCAAUAUACCUCUGGCGUAUUGAUUAUUUCAGGCCAGGCAUGGUGGCUCACACCUGUAAUCCUAGUGCUUUGAGAGGCCAGGAGUUCAUGAGCAGCCUGGGCAUGUAGGGAGACCCAUCUCUAUAAAAAUAUUUUUAAAAGAUUAGCUGGGCAUGGUGGCAUGUGCCUGUAGUCUUAGCUGCUGGGGAGGCUAAGGCAGGAGGAUGGCUUGAGCCCAGGAGUUUGAAGUUGCAGUGAACUCUGAUUGCACCACUGCAUUCUAGCCUGGGUGACAGAGUAAGACGCUAUCUCUUAAAAAACAAAACAAAACACUCACGCCUGUAAUCCCAGCACAUUGAGAGGCCAAGGUGGGCAGAUCACUUGAGGUCAGGAGUUUGAGACCAGCCUGGCCAACAUGGUGAAACCCCGUUUCUACUAAAAAUACCAAAAUGAGCCAGGCGUGGUGGCACGCAGCUGUAAUCUCAGCUACUUGAGAGGCUGAGGUGGGAGAAUUGUUUAAACCCAGGAGGCAGAGGUUGCAGUGAGCCAAGAUCGCACCAAACCACUCCAGGCUGGGCAACAGAGCAAGACUCCAUCUCAAACAAAACAAAACGAGAUGAGAGAAAAACCUCAACCUGUACACCUCUUUAUGACAGAACAACACAGAAAGAGAAAGACAAAGAAAAGACUACUCUAGGAGGAAAUGGAUGAAACAAUAUGAUUCUUACCACAAAGUACCAGAAAGUACACCAUAGUCAAUACACCAGCACUGGUCACACAAAUCCUUUUCUCCCAUCAGUCAAAAUUUUGGACAGGAAAAAUGAACAGAGUGAUAUUUACUGUCUACUUGACCAAAUUCCACAGAGAGGGGCCUGGAAUCUGACUGGUAAGAAAUUCUUAUCCUUAGGCUGGCUGAUUAGCUCCUGGUUUUCCUUAACUGUGGGCUUCCAAAAGAGCCAACCUUUGGGUUCCUGCUUACAACACCAAAUUUCUAGGGGCCAAGGGAAAUCUUUCUCUUAGCACUCUGAAAGUUUGUUGUAAAAUCGACUUGCAAAAACAGAAGAUUAACAGGAGAAAACACAUACAAAAUGUAUAAUUGCCCAAACCCCCAGUGAGGUGCAGGAGCUUAUAUAUCAUCUUGAGAUUACAGAAAGAAGUGGAUCAUGGCAGAACUGGUUAUAGGAGGGAGAGAAGAUGAGGUCUGCUAGCAAUGGUAGUCUUGUUAUGUACAUGAAACCUCACAGAUAGCAUCCCUCAGAGAACUGUUUCCUUAAGACCUUUAAAGGUGUCAGACUCUCAUUAAUCCUUCCUACAUCUGGAAAAGAGAAGGCCUGUAUAUAUCAAUGCACGAUGGCAUUGCAGGGCUACUUCUUUUGCUGCCUCUGACAGCCAUCUCAAAAUAUGUCAAAGAAAUAUAUUUUGGGGUAAAACAUUUUUCUUUCUUUCAAAGUGGAAUAUUAAGCGUACGUCUCUUAUAGAUACACUUUUAAAUAAAUAAGGGAAUCCACUUUUUCUAAUUUGUUAAGAUAUUUUUUGUUUUAAUAAUGAAGAGAGGUUAACUUUUAAAAAGGUUUUCUACAUCUACUGAUAUUAUCAUGUGGUUUUAUUUCUUUUUACUGUUAAUGCGGUGAAUAAUAUUGAUUGAUUUUCAAAUGCGAGUUCCUGGAGUAAAUCCCACUAGGUCAUGAUGUAUUUUUAAAAUAUAUAUAUUGCUGGAUUCAGUAUGCUAAUGCAUUAUUCAUAAUUUUUAACAUCUGUGAUCAUGAGAGACAUUGGCUGACCAAAAAUGGGAAAUUGACAAGAGUAAUAAACAAAAUGGGCUUACAAAUAUUCAUACUUGCUUGAUACUUAAAAAGGCCUUUUAAUGUAUUUUUCUGCCCCACUCAAGCAGACUUUUUAAUUUCUGGCAAGAGGUCUCAUUCAGGCUGUUCAAAGGUCAAUAUUAAUCUGAAUCAUUCCACAUUUGUAGGCAUCCUCAUUAUCUUUUCAAUACAGAUUGAAUUAUUGGGGAUUCAGACAGCAGAGGAAAAAAGUCAAAGCAUAUAAGGUGAGUAAGAAUUGUCACUUCCUGACAGGACCAGGAACAUCAGGAUAUUUGGAGAAUCUUAACAAAAGGAGAAUUCAUCCAAAUCUCUAGGUAUUGCAGGCAAAGUAUGAUAGCAAGAUCCUGGUUUGGUUUCCUAGCAUCUGGACGCUUUUAAAAGUCUAAUUUGAGAUUCCUUAUGAAAAUGUCCAGGUAAGUCAACUUAAAGAGAGCCUACACUGCAGCAUAAGUUCCUAGUUAUCAUUGCUAAAGUAAAGUUAUCAUUGCUGAGAGUACCAUAUCAUCCUCUGGAGAAACUGAACCUCUAUAGAGUUAGUUCUACUUAUAGUGCAAAACAGUGCUUCAAGUUAGAGUCAGCAUAUUUACUGAUUCUAUGCAGUAACCAGUGUUAUCUAUGUUUCUCCAGACUUGUCAAAUUAUACCUUUUUCUUUAAUCAGGGUGGGCUCAUAGUUGUCACAAUUUGUGUACUAGGGGUGAGAGAAACUGUGGUUCUUCUCUCUAAAGAGCUCGAAUUUUGUCUGACCUCGUUUUCUUUUUUUUUCUUUUUUUUUUUUUUUCAGUGUUUCUUUGUUGCCCAGGCUGGAGUGCAAUGGCAUGACCUCAGCUCACUGCAACCUCCACCUCCCCAGUUCAAGAGAUUCUCCUGCCUCAGCCUCCUGAGUAGCUGGGAUUACAGGCAUGUACCACCGUGCCUGGCUAAUUUUGUAUUUUUUAGUAGACACACGGUUUCUCCAUGUUGGUCAGGCUGGUCUCGAACUCCUGACCUCAGGUGAUCCACCCGCCUCAGCCCCCCAAAGUGCUGGGAUUACAGGUGUUAGCCGUGGCGCCCAGCCCUGUCUGACCUACUUUUCAAAACCAAAAAGAUGAGCAAUAAGAGGGCAGUUAAUUAGCAAGACCUCCUUCCCUAAGAUCUUAUUCUAAGGUUGGGAGAUAGGACAACAGACAGGAAGAAAGACGUCAGAAAUAUACAUUUAAGAGAAAAAUGUUCUUUUGGCAGGCCUAAGACAUUUUCUAUUAGAGUGUGUUAAGGGUCUCUACUAGCAUCUUCAGAUUGUUCUGUCAUCACCACCAGUGUUUUCUGAAACCCUCCUCCUUUUCCCACCCCCUCCCUCCCACUCCAGAAAAACCACACACAAGGUUAAGCCUCCUAUCCAGUGUCUCCUGGAAGUCUAAGGAAGUCACAGGUGCCUCUGUGGUCUGGGGAUCCCAGUCUUGGAAUGGGAGUGAGUUCUGGGACAAAGGUGAAAUCAGACAUGGUAAAUCAGAUACCUAGCCUGUUGUAGGCUGGUGGUUUAAAUGUUAGGAUUCUGGCGUGAUCCUGCUGUGGUUCAAAUUUCUCACCUCUUUGACUUUCAGAAGUUAGUUUAAUCCUUGUGUUUCAUUCCCAUUGUUAGUAAAACCAGAUAUAAUUGCGGUACUCAUUAUAUCAGUGAGGUUAAUGGGUAUCCUUCCUUAAGCAUAGUCUAGCACCAUUUAAAAUAAUAAAUAUUAACUAGGAUUUUAUUCUAAUUACUCCUUUCCAGCAAUUCUGGGGGCUAAGUUUUCCCCAGUGUUAGUUCUGUAGUGCGUGAAAGCUCAGACUUUCUUCUCUGGAAGCUACUUUCUAAACUCCUUUCACCCCACCUCUUUAUUAACUAAGAUAUCCACCUCACCCUUUCCAUCUUUUCCUGUCACCAACAUUCUCUGUGCCUCCCUCACUGUUCUGAGGCUGUAUCAUAUCCAGAAAAUAAUCAUCAGUCAUUUCAUAGUAAAUUGUAAGAGCAUUGCUAGUGUUCACAUGUUUAAUCACGGGAUGAUACUUCUGCCAUUUCAUCCUCAAUUCUGAUACCUCCAGUUCGUGUUUGCUUAUGAAACAGGGACCACUUGAGGGACUGAUGAGUUUGUUGCAUGUUGUAGGCACUGAUGUGCUUUUAUUUAACUACACUGGUUUUCUGGUUUUAUCAUUUUUCUCAUAGUUGUCACCAACUUGUGGUCUCAUAAUUGUUACCAACUUGUGAAGUAGGGGUGAGAGAAACUGUGGUACUUCUCUCUAAAUAGCUUGAAUUUCGUCUGACCUAGUUUUCAAAAGCAAAAAAAAAUGAACAGUAACAGUGCAGUUAAUUAGUAAGACCUCCUUACCUAAGAUCUCAUUCUAAGGUCUGAGAGAUAGGACAACAGACAGGAAGAGGGUUGUCAGAAAAAUACAUUUAAGACAGAAAUGUUCGGCCAGGCACCGUGGCUCAUGCCUGUAAUCCCAGCACUUUGGAAGGCCAAGGCGGGUGGAUCACGAGGUCAAGAGAUCAAGACCAUAUACAAAUACAAAAUUAGCUUGGCGUGGUGGUGCACACCUGUAAUCCCAGCUACUCUGGAGGCUAAGGCAGGAGAAUCACUUGAACCAGGGAGGCGGAGGUUGCAGUGAGCCAAGAUGGUGCCACUGCACUCCAGCCUGGUGACAGAGCAAGACUCCGUCUUGAGAGAGAGAGAGAGAGAGAGAGAAAUGUUUUUUGGCAGGCGUUAAGACCCUAAUGGAACACAUGUUUAAAAAAAAUGGUGGGGGGGGGAAGAGAAAAAUCAUUAAAGAUGAAAAAUUGCCAGAAAUUCCCCUGUGUACUUUUCCCCUUGCCUCUUACUUUCUGGUUUCUGAAACAAUAACUGAUCAAUGGGGUGUGGUGAGGGAGUAGAGAAAGAAUGAAUAGCCCUGAAUGCACUGAUAAUAGACUGCUUGCCAAUAACCACUGAUAGAGUUUGAAUACAAUUCUACAAUGGGAAAAAAUGUUUUUAAACAUAUGUCUGAUGAAGGAUUGCUAUCCAGAAUAAAUUAACACUUUCUAAAACUCAUCAUUAAAAAACAAACAACCCAUUUCAAAAAUGGGCAGAGGACUUAAAUAGACAUUUCUCCAAAGAAGACAUACAAAUGGCCAAUAAGCACAUGAAAAAAAUAUGUCCAGCAUCACUAAUUCUUAGGGAAAUGCAAAUCAAAACUACAGUGAGAUACAGGUACCACUGCACAUCCACUAGGAUGGCUACUAUCAAAAAAAAAAAAGAUAAUAAGAGUUGGCAAGGAUAUAAGGAGUUUGGAACCCCUAUGUAUGCACUGUUGUAAGCAUGUAAAUUGGUACAGCCAAUGUAGAAAACAGAAAGUUCCUCAACAAAUUAAAAAUAGAAUUACCAUAUGACCCAGCAAUUUCACUUCUGGACAUAUACUCAAAAUAAUUAAAAGCAGAGUCUCAGGAAGAUAUUUGUACACCCAAGUUCAUAGCAGCAUUACGCAUAAUAGCAAAGAUGAGGAAGCAACUCAAGUGUCCAUUCACACAUGAAAGGAUAAGCAAGACAUGGUACAUAUAGACAGUCAGCCUUUAAAAAGAAGGAAAUGCUAAUAUGCUACAUCACAGAUGAACCUAAGGGACAUUAUACUAAAUGAAAUAAGCCAGGCACAAGAAGACAAAUACUGUAUGAUUCCACUUACAUGGGGUACUUAGGGUAGUCAACAUCAUAGACACAAUGCAGAAAGGUGGUUGCCUGGCAUGGGGGAGAGGAAAGUAGGGAGUUAUUCUUUAAAGGAUACAGAGUUUCACUUUUAGAAGACACAAAGAGUUGUGGAGAUGGAUGAUGACAAUGGUUGCAAAGCAUUAUGAACUGUACACUUAAUGGUUAAGAUGGUAAAUUUUGUGUGUAUUUUACAGAGAGAGAGAGAGAGAACUGGGCACCCGCUCUUGCAUUCUCUUCACUAAAAUCCCAAAUGUUCAUUUACAGAUAGUCACCCAUAAGCGUUUUUCUCCCAGCAGAACAGAAUUCCAGUCUCUGCUCAGGAGUAGCAAUCUGACUUGGGGAAAUGAUAAACUUUCUAUAAACCAGGGUCCCCCAGAACAGCUUUCUCUUCAUAGGCCCAGUACUAAUUUUUCUUUUCAUCCCCUGAGACAAACUAUUUGUCUCUGGAUAGCUUUCACAUGAGAUGAUAGAACUUGAUGUUAAUGUCAUUAAUUCUGUUUUCAUAUGCAAUCUGCUUCUAGGAUUAAUGUCACCAGCCAGGUUCCUAACCUAUGUGGAACACCCAGGGCCAGAAGAGUCUAAAAUUGCAAAAGCUCGUGGCUCCUGAGUCCAAGAGUUCCUGGUUUUCCUGGACACAAGCGAUAGCGCAGCACUUUCUUCCCCAUGUGCCAGAGGCCUAGGGUUCUGCAGAAGAGGCCCCAAGGCCCCAGACGCUGCAAGCCCUAAGCUCAGUAUAUUCUAGGCCCUGUCCUCUCACUUUCUAUUUCUUGUGUGGCCCCCAAACUUGUGCCAGCUAUCCUGGAACAGCCAAGAAUUCAACUGUGACCUGCUUCCUCCCUCAACCUCUUCUCCCCAACCUCCCCACCACACUUCUUCUUUGGGAAGAUUUGUAAAAAUUAAGGUUAUUAUAUCCAUGUAACUUUCUGUAUUUCUUUUAAACUCCUUGUGCUACUAAGUCACACAGGUUUGACUCCUGGAUCUAAAAAAGUCACCAACUCUGGCUAAAUCUUAAACAUUGACAGCAAUUGAAGCCUCAUCUUCAGACCUAGGAGAAGAUGAAAAUCAGAAUAAGCUGCAGUCAUAAGACAUGGGUCCAGAAAUUAAAACUAUUCAACCCCUCUAGUCCCAGGGACUAUUGCAGAAGAAGUGGGUGUGUGAGCUUGUAAGGAUCCAUUUUAAGAGAUAAAAUUAAUUCAGAGUUUCUCUAUAAAUUAAACAGUUGCAUUUGUUGUUGUUUUGAGACAGUCCAGCUAUGUCAUCUGGGCUGGAGUGCAGUGGCAUUAUCCUGGCUCACUGCAACCUCUGCCUGGCAAGAUUCCUGGCACCUCAGCCUCCCAAGUAGCAGGGACUACAGGGGUGCACCACCAUGCCUGGCUAAUUUUUGUAUUUUUAUAGAGACAAGGUUUCACCAUGUUGCCCAAGCUGGUCUCAAACUCCUGAACUCAAGAUAUCCGCCUGCCUAGGCCUUCCAAAGUGCUGAUUUUACAGCUAUGAGCCACCGUGGCCAGCCUAUAAAUUAAACAUUAAUGUCAAAGGAACACUGAUGCAAGACAAGCAUGUGGGUCCCUGUGUCAGAUUAACAAUGUUUUCUUGGAGCAUUAACACAUUCCUUACUUAAAAAUUAUGAAAGGUUAUGAGAAGGUUUACAAAAAUUAUAUCUUACACUCAAGAUUAUUAAAAUUUAAUAGAUUUGUCUGUAAAUUUAAUUGACUUCAUCCUGUCUUUAUUAGGUUUUAUUGUUUGGGAAAGUAAGUCUCAAAGAGUAAAAGUUUUUGCCUUUUUGUUUUUAAAAUAUUUGAGUUACCACUUUGACUAAAUGAAUGACUUAUUUUACAAUGACCUGUGAUGCUAUUUUGUGAUAUUGUGUUUUCAACCUUUGAUGUUUGACAAACUUUCCAAAAUCUAAAUCUAAAUUCAGGGCUUUGGUCUCACUAAUUUUUUUGACAUUACAUCCCCUGAAAUCCAAAGAGACAUAUUUGGCUUACUUGGUAUAAUAAAAUCUUCGUUAUCAAAUAUGAAAUGAUGUGUAAACUUUUUUGGCUUGUAUUUAUAUAAAUGUGUUAUUAGUAUGUGUUCCAAAAUUGUAUGAGAUUCUUGUGAUUCUGAUAUGUCUUAGAAUAUGUUAUCAGAACUAAUUAUGAUUAUUAUAUUAAAUUGUUAUGUGCCGUAGAUACAACCAAA